GAUGAACGCUGGCGGCGUGCCUAAUACAUGCAAGUCGAGCGAACAGACGAGGAGCUUGCUCCUCUGACGUUAGCGGCGGACGGGUGAGUAACACGUGGAUAACCUACCUAUAAGACUGGGAUAACUUCGGGAAACCGGAGCUAAUACCGGAUAAUAUAUUGAACCGCAUGGUUCAAUAGUGAAAGACGGUUUUGCUGUCACUUAUAGAUGGAUCCGCGCCGCAUUAGCUAGUUGGUAAGGUAACGGCUUACCAAGGCAACGAUGCGUAGCCGACCUGAGAGGGUGAUCGGCCACACUGGAACUGAGACACGGUCCAGACUCCUACGGGAGGCAGCAGUAGGGAAUCGUCCGAAAUGGGCGAAAGCCUGACGGAGCAACGCCGCGUGAGUGAUGAAGGCCUUCGGAUCGUAAAACUCUGUUAUUAGGGAAGAACAAAUGUGUAAGUAACUAUGCACGUCUUGACGGUACCUAAUCAGAAAGCCACGGCUAACUACG
Molecule: ribosomal RNA, 495 nt
Filed under: uncultured bacterium
Lineage: Bacteria
Description: partial 16S ribosomal RNA
Rfam family: Bacterial small subunit ribosomal RNA
Source: RNAcentral